CCUACGGGGGGCUGCAGUGGGGAAUAUUGGGCAAUGGGCGCAAGCCUGACCCAGCAACGCCGCGUGAAGGAAGAAGGCUUUCGGGUUGUAAACUUCUUUUAAGAGGGAAGAGCAGAAGACGGUACCUCUUGAAUAAGCCACGGCUAACUACGUGCCAGCAGCCGCGGUAAUACGGAGGAUCCGAGCGUUAUCCGGAUUUAUUGGGUUUAAAGGGUGCGUAGGCGGAUCGUUAAGUCAGUGGUCAAAUUGAGGGGCUCAACCCCUUCCCGCCAUUGAAACUGGCGUUCUUGAGUGGAAGAGAAGUAUGCGGAAUGCGUGGUGUAGCGGUGAAAUGCAUAGAUAUCACGCAGAACCCCGAUUGCGAAGGCAGCAUGCCGGCUUCCGACUGACGCUGAAGCACGAAAGCGUGGGGAUCGAACAGGAUUAGAUUCCCCGGUAGUC
Molecule: ribosomal RNA, 441 nt
Filed under: uncultured bacterium
Lineage: Bacteria
Description: partial 16S ribosomal RNA
Rfam family: Bacterial small subunit ribosomal RNA
Source: RNAcentral